GGUAUAGUGUCUAUGGCUAUAGGAGGAAAAUUUGAUAAGAAAUUGAGCUUAAAACUAAUGACUUUGAGAGUAUUUUUUCAGGCCGUUUCUAUAUUUUUAUUAAUUUAUUUUUAUAAAGUUCAUUUUUUAUACUAAAAUUAAGUGUAAUGAUCUAUUUUUAUAGGUGAAUUUUAUUUUUUAGUAAGAUUUAUAUCUCUUAAACUAUUUACUUCAUGAGGUAUGUAAAAUCAAAAGAUAUUA
Molecule: small RNA, 240 nt
Filed under: Rickettsia prowazekii
Lineage: Bacteria; Pseudomonadati; Pseudomonadota; Alphaproteobacteria; Rickettsiales; Rickettsiaceae
Description: partial sR50 non-coding RNA
Source: RNAcentral